UGUAUAUGCCCGGAAGUUACCGCAUCUAUGAAACGCAGCUCCGAAACCCGCAAUAGUGCCAUAUAAAUAGUACACUAAUAGAUUAUUAUAUGCAAUUGCUAGCUAAGACGAGGCUUCAAUGGUUUCAUCUACUCUGAAAUUCAACUUGUUCUUGCUACUCACAAGUACUCUUCUCUUCAUAGCUUCAUUAUCCCAAUCAGUUCCUUCUGAAAUUUCUUCUCCCCCAGGACCUAUCCACCACCAUGUAGCACCAUGUUGGAGGGAAGUGUACGUCGUCGUAUAUGCGAAGUGAAUCGUCGGGCAGCAGUUCACCCAAGUAUUUCAAAACCUUCUCCGCAUUCGUAGAGGCAGCGUGUUGGAGAAAGUAGUCUACUUCGACGUGAAGAUAUUCAGGAGCAUUAGUCAGUGGUGUUUGAUUUGGUCAUUAGACAUUAGCAGAUUAGUCGGUGGGCCGUUUGGCUAAGCUUAAAAGAAGUUACUUAUUGCUUAAAGUAGAGAAGUGAAUUAUAAGUGAUAAAUAGAUAUAAUUUAUAAGUUGUUAAAGUGUUUGGAUAAUGCUAAUAAUAAACUGGUGGAGGUUUUGAUAA
Long non-coding RNA from Daucus carota subsp. sativus, 587 nucleotides. RefSeq lists it as uncharacterized. The transcript has 2 exons. The record is from RefSeq and is a predicted model, not a curated record. Lineage: Eukaryota; Viridiplantae; Streptophyta; Magnoliopsida; Apiales; Apiaceae.